CAGCAGUCGCCACGGUAAUACAUAGGAUGCAAGCGUUAUCCAGAAUGAUUGGGCGUAAAGCAUCUUUAAGUGGCUUUUCAAGUCCGUCGCCAAAUCCCAGGGCUCAGCCCUGGACAGGCGGUGGAAACUACUAAGCUAGAGUACGAUAGGGGUAGAGGGAAUUUCCGGUGGAGCGGUGAAAUGCGUUGAGAUUGGAAAGAACACCAACAGCAAAAGCACUCUGUUGGGCCGACACUGACACUGAGAGACGAAAGCUAAGGGAGCAAAUGGGAUUAGAUACCCCGGUAGUCCCUGUCUCUUAUAC
RNAcentral lists this ribosomal RNA (304 nucleotides) under uncultured bacterium. Its description in RNAcentral is "partial 16S ribosomal RNA". It matches the Rfam family "Bacterial small subunit ribosomal RNA", at positions 506 to 807 of the family's 1533-position model. The record is from RNAcentral.